This 533-nucleotide ribosomal RNA is filed under the name Thaumatagrion funereum. RNAcentral describes it as "partial 16S ribosomal RNA". It matches the Rfam family "Bacterial large subunit ribosomal RNA", at positions 1831 to 2619 of the family's 2925-position model. Lineage: Eukaryota; Metazoa; Arthropoda; Insecta; Odonata; Coenagrionidae. The record is from RNAcentral.
GUUCUAAUUGAUUUUGUAUUAGAUCAGGCCUGCCCAGUGAAAAAUUUUUAACGGCCGCGGUAUUUUGACCGUGCAAAGGUAGCAUAAUCAUUAGUCUUUUAAUAGAAGGCUGGAAUGAAAGGUUUAACGAAAAAUUGACUGUCUCAAUUAUACACUUAAAUUUAUCUUUUAAGUUAAAAGACUUAAAUGUUAUUGGAGGACGAGAAGACCCUAUAGAGCUUUACAAUUAUUUUUUUUUUGAUUUAAUAAGUUUAUGAUUUGGUUAUAUUAAAUUAAUUGUUUUGUUGGGGUGACAGUAAAUAAAUAUAUAACUUUUAUUAUUUAAUUUUCAUUAAUUUAUGAAUUUUAGAUCCAAAAAUUUUGAUCAUUAGACUAAGUUACCUUAGGGAUAACAGCGUAAUUUUCUCUUGGAGUUCUUAUUUGCGAGAAAGAUUGCGACCUCGAUGUUGGAUUAAGAUAAUAAUUUGGUGCAGUAGCUAAAUUGAUAGGUCUGUUCGACCUUUAAAUUCUUACAUGAUCUGAGUUCARACCGG